AGCGUAGUAGUCCAGUGGAUAAGAUGUUUGACUGGAAGUCAGAAGGUUGCUGAUUCGAGCCCCAAUUCAGCAA
This is a non-coding RNA of Gymnothorax javanicus (giant moray), 73 nucleotides long. The record is from the annotation of a GenBank genome assembly. Lineage: Eukaryota; Metazoa; Chordata; Actinopteri; Anguilliformes; Muraenidae.